RNAcentral lists this ribosomal RNA (465 nucleotides) under Vreelandella stevensii. RNAcentral's name for it is "partial 16S ribosomal RNA". It matches the Rfam family "Bacterial small subunit ribosomal RNA", at positions 338 to 795 of the family's 1533-position model. The record is from RNAcentral. Lineage: Bacteria; Pseudomonadati; Pseudomonadota; Gammaproteobacteria; Oceanospirillales; Halomonadaceae.
CCUACGGGGGGCAGCAGUGGGGAAUAUUGGACAAUGGGCGAAAGCCUGAUCCAGCCAUGCCGCGUGUGUGAAGAAGGCCUUCGGGUUGUAAAGCACUUUCAGUGGGGAAGAAAGCCUUGGGGCUAAUACCCUCGAGGAAGGACAUCACCAACAGAAGAAGCACCGGCUAACUCCGUGCCAGCAGCCGCGGUAAUACGGAGGGUGCGAGCGUUAAUCGGAAUUACUGGGCGUAAAGCGCGCGUAGGCGGUCUGAUAAGCCGGUUGUGAAAGCCCCGGGCUCAACCUGGGAACGGCAUCCGGAACUGUCAGGCUAGAGUGCAGGAGAGGAAGGUAGAAUUCCCGGUGUAGCAGUGAAAUGCGUAGAGAUCGGGAGGAAUACCAGUGGCGAAGGCGGCCUUCUGGACUGACACUGACGCUGAGGUGCGAAAGCGUGGGUAGCAAACAGGAUUAGAUACCCUAGUAGUC